UGCGCAGGCGGUUGGUUAAGUCUGACGUGAAAGCCCCGGGCUCAACUUGGGAAUGGCAUUGGAAACUGGCUGGCUAGAGUGUGGCAGAGGGGGUGGAAUUCCGCGUGUAGCAGUGAAAUGCGUAGAGAUGCGGAGGAACACCGAUGGCGAAGGCAGCCCCCUGGGCUGACACUGACGCUCAGGCACGAAAGCGUGGGGAGCAAACA
RNAcentral lists this ribosomal RNA (206 nucleotides) under uncultured bacterium. Its description in RNAcentral is "partial 16S ribosomal RNA". It matches the Rfam family "Bacterial small subunit ribosomal RNA", at positions 568 to 774 of the family's 1533-position model. The record is from RNAcentral.